This 253-nucleotide ribosomal RNA is filed under the name uncultured bacterium. Its description in RNAcentral is "partial 16S ribosomal RNA". It matches the Rfam family "Bacterial small subunit ribosomal RNA", at positions 524 to 776 of the family's 1533-position model. The record is from RNAcentral.
UACGUAGGGUGCGAGCGUUAAUCGGAAUUACUGGGCGUAAAGCGUGCGCAGGCGGUUUUUUAAGCCAGAUGUGAAAUCCCCGGGCUUAACCUGGGAACUGCAUUUGGAACUGGAAGACUAGAGUACGGCAGAGGGGGGUAGAAUUCCACGUGUAGCAGUGAAAUGCGUAGAUAUGUGGAGGAAUACCGAUGGCGAAGGCAGCCCCCUGGGCCAUUACUGACACUGAGGAGCGAAAGCGUGGGGAGCGAACAGG